GCAGUGAUGGCGCAGUGGCUAACGCUUCUGUCAAACGUUCUUUUGGCACUGGUUCGAAUCCAGUUAGCUUAU
Molecule: non-coding RNA, 72 nt
Organism: Caenorhabditis brenneri
Lineage: Eukaryota; Metazoa; Nematoda; Chromadorea; Rhabditida; Rhabditidae
Source: the annotation of a GenBank genome assembly